RNAcentral lists this ribosomal RNA (467 nucleotides) under uncultured bacterium. RNAcentral describes it as "partial 16S ribosomal RNA". It matches the Rfam family "Bacterial small subunit ribosomal RNA", at positions 28 to 507 of the family's 1533-position model. The record is from RNAcentral.
GACGAACGCUGGCGGCGUGCUUAACACAUGCAAGUCGAACGGAAAGGCCCUGCUUUUGUGGGUGCUCGAGUGGCGAACGGGUGAGUAACACGUGAGUAACCUGCCCUUGACUUUGGGAUAACUUCAGGAAACUGGGGCUAAUACCGGAUAGGAGCUCCUGCUGCAUGGUGGGGGUUGGAAAGUUUCGGCGGUUGGGGAUGGACUCGCGGCUUAUCAGCUUGUUGGUGGGGUAGUGGCUUACCAAGGCUUUGACGGGUAGCCGGCCUGAGAGGGUGACCGGCCACAUUGGGACUGCGAUACGGCCCAGACUCCUACGGGAGGCAGCAGUGGGGAGUAUUGCACAAUGGGCGGAAGCCUGAUGCAGCAACGCCGCGUGCGGGAUGACGGCCUUCGGGUUGUAAACCGCUUUCGCCUGUGACGAAGCGUGAGUGACGGUAAUGGGUAAAGAAGCACCGGCUAACUACGUG